CCUACGGGUGGCAGCAGUGGGGGAUAUUGCACAAUGGGGGAAACCCUGAUGCAGCGACGCUGCGUGUGGGAAGACGGUCCUCUGGAUUGUAAACCACUGUCCCCAGGGACGAAGAUGACGGUACCUGGGGAGGAAGCUCCGGCUAACUACGUGCCAGCAGCCGCGGUAAUACGUAGGGAGCAAGCGUUGUCCGGAAUUACUGGGUGUAAAGGGAGCGUAGGGGGGGAUGCAAGUUGGGUGUCAAAACUACCGGCUCAACUGGUAGUCGCAAUUAAAACUGCAGGUCUUGAGUGAAGUAGAGGCAGGCGGAAUGCGUAGUGGAGCGGUGAAAUGCGUAGAUAUUAGGAGGAACACCAGUGGCGAAGGCGGCCUGCUGGGCUUUGACUGACGCUGAGGCUCGAAAGUGUGGGGAGCAAACAGGAUUAGAUACCCCAGUAGUC
This 440-nucleotide ribosomal RNA is filed under the name uncultured bacterium. RNAcentral describes it as "partial 16S ribosomal RNA". It matches the Rfam family "Bacterial small subunit ribosomal RNA", at positions 338 to 795 of the family's 1533-position model. The record is from RNAcentral.